GUACGGAAGGCAGCAAUUAGGAAUCUUGCGCAAUGGGCGAAAGCCUGACGCAGCGACGCCGCGUGGAGGAGGAAGUCCUUCGGGAUGUAAACUCCUUUUUGGGGAGACGAACACAAUGACGGUAUCCCCGGAAUAAGCCCCGGCUAACUACGUGCCAGCAGCCGCGGUAAUACGUAGGGGGCGAGCGUUGUCCGAAGUCACUGGGCGUAAAGCGCGCGUAGGCGGGCUGUUAAGUCGGAAGUGAAAGGCUGGGGCUCAACCCCAUGCAGGGCUUCUGAUACUGGCGGUCUUGAGGGCGGUAGGGAGAAGUGGAAUGGCUGGUGUAGCGGUGAAAUGCGUAGAUAUCAGUCGGAACACCGGUGGCGAAGGCGGCUUCUUGGGCCGUUCCUGACGCUGAGGCGCGAAAGCCAGGGGAGCGAACGGGAUUAGAUACCCUUGUA
RNAcentral lists this ribosomal RNA (440 nucleotides) under uncultured bacterium. RNAcentral describes it as "bacterial SSU rRNA". It matches the Rfam family "Bacterial small subunit ribosomal RNA", at positions 339 to 792 of the family's 1533-position model. The record is from RNAcentral.